Molecule: long non-coding RNA, 4151 nt
Organism: Mustela erminea (ermine)
Lineage: Eukaryota; Metazoa; Chordata; Mammalia; Carnivora; Mustelidae
Exons: 5
Source: RefSeq, a predicted model, not a curated record
ACAGUUAGUGCUGAUUUUCAUUUGCAUACAUUUUCAUAUAUUUUGGUGAAAAUAAUAGACUGGUGGAGAGCUGGGUUUAGAAGAGUCAGUGUAAAGGGAAGACUAAGGAUGCAUCGGUUCUGGGGAGUUGAGAAUAUGCCUCCCCCCCCCAGGCACCUUUAAAAAAUAAUAAAACAUCUUCUUUUAUUUUAAAAUCUAAUCCUGGAAGUUUGUUCGGUAAAGCCACUUUAAGGCAACACCGUUUCCUGCGUCCUUUGUGUUCCCCUGUCCUGUGGUCUGGAGACAAAGCUGGGGAACAAGACUCAGCUGACCUCUGACAUUAUGGAGCUACCCUUGAGUAAGGGAGAUGGACGGAUGGCACGCGAGGGACCAAACAGAGAGAGGGUCACACGUGGAGUUGACUAGCACAGUUAUGGAGGGCAGGAAGUCCUACAAUGUGCUGUCUGCAAUCUGGAGACCAAGGAAAGCUGCUCAUGUAACUCACCUCAAGUCUGAAGACCUGAGAAUCACAGGGGUCCCUGGGGAGCAACUCUGUAAAUUCUAGCUGGAUUCUGAAGGCCCAAGACCCAGAAACUCUGAUGCCCGAGGGCAGGAGAAGAUGGAUGUCUCCACCUUUCUUCUGUCUUUCUCUUCUAUUCUGGUCCUCAAUGGAUUGGAUGACGCCUACUGCAUCGGUGAAGGUGAUCUUCGUUACUCAUCUACUGGUUCAGAUGCAAAUCUCUUCCAGAAACGCUCUCACAGGCACAUCCAGAUGUAUGUUUUACCAGCAGUCUGGGCAUCUCUUAGCCCAGUCAAGUUGACACAUGAGAAUAACGGGCACAAAUAACUGCAAUUGAAGGAUAAAUGCUCCGUGUCCUCUCUCUGCCAGUUGGCGUUUAUCAGAAGGCACUGGAAGAAGAGGGACAAAGGUGCCUGGAUGUAUGUGUUCACCAAGAGUUGUCAGGACCUUGAUUCUAAAAGGAAGUUGUAAACUAAUGUUUUUGACGUCAAGAUGUUUCUGGAAGUGGAGGCAGUUCAAGAGUUUGGCAAACACAAGCCUGCAGGCUAAGUUCAACCUAUUGCCAGUUUUUGUAAAUAAAGAUUUAUUGGAACACAGCCACACCCAUUAGUGGACUGGUUGUCUCCUGUGGCGUUUGUGCUACAAUGUGGAGCAGUAGUGGCCUAAAAGAUUUACUGUCUGGUUCUUUCCAGAAAAAGUGUGCUGACUCUUGAUACAGUCCGUCCAAUACACUGAAUAUUUAUGAAUGCACUACUCCCUGCUGAGAAAGGUAUUUAUUGGAAUUUCAAUGGGGGUCCUCAUUUGAUGAGAUGCUAAGGGCUUUUGGUAAUGUGCUUAGGUUAUGAGUGUUCAGUACUGGUGAACAGACAGCAGGAAGUGAGGCAGAUUUGGGGCAAGACUUUAUGGUUUGAGAAAGAGGCUUUGCUAUUAAUGUCUCAGUGGCAAGUCACUGAUUGUGGUUGGGCUGUUCCUGUUAGAUAACAAGAUUGCUCUACUACGUGGAGAAGGUGCUGAGAUUUCCAACGUGGAAUGCACCUUGAUUUACUCCUUCAGGACCUUAUGGUCAACAUUAUGGAUGUCUGCUUCCAGGCCAAAAGAUGGGCACCCUUUGCCACCAGUUGGUAGUUGGAUGGGUCAAGCGAGAGAAUGUGCAUCCCAAGCAUUCCCUAAACCGUAAGAUGCUCUAUUUGUGACAUAUGAAAGCAGCAGGGCAAGUGUUGUUUCUGUCUGGCACAUGAAGAAAUGACGCAGCCUACCCAAGAUCAAGUAGUCAGCCAGCAGAGGACCCGGAGGCUAGCUCUCUUGCUUUAAGUCACCAUUCUUUCCAGUAUACCAUAUGCUUCUUUGCGUCACGCUUCUUUCCGUGCUUUCAGAAAUGCUCAGUUUUUUAGUUCAUUUCUUUAUUCUUUCAUUCACUAUUGAACGUUCUUUAACAGCCUGCUAUGAAUGGAUAAGGAGCUGGAUGUUUCAGGGAGAGUGAGGACUAUGUAAAAAGAGUUGGAAGACCCUUAUAGUAAUUUUAUUCUUGACCCCUGUGGCCAGAAUCCUCCAGAAGGACGUAGAUUCUUCUCUUGAGUUCCCCUGCCCUGACCAAGGAGCUUAUUUGUGAUAUGGAGAACAAGAAAGUAGAUUGGAUGAGAAAGGGAGAGCAAUCCUGUCAUUCAAAAGGGUUGCCUGACAUGUUGUUUUAUGUCGUGGGUGUGCGUAUGGUAUGUACACACCAUGAAAGCAAUGAAAGAAAGAGGGAUUCUGAAGUGUUGAUAGCAGAUUUUACCAGCAACUGAAGGAUGGAGACAGUCUAGGUUUGGAGGAUUUGCAAGUUAGGAUUUUGUAUAUAAAGUCCAAGGGAAUCGAUAUCAGAGGAAUUUUCCAAUAUGAAUUGUCCGAUUAAAUGACAUAAAUUAAACAUGCCAGAUGUGGAUUUAUUUUAUCACACUGUUAAAUACAGCCUUCAUUCAGAUUGUCUUCAUUCAAUGAUGUGUCUUGUAAGUUUUGAAAUGAUGAUUACCAAAUGUGCCUGGAGGAAGCAGCUUCCACCAAAAUAUUAAAUUUGCCCUGUCAUGGUGAGAGAAGUGAAAUUCUUGAAGUUUCUGUUUUUGACACUAGCUGUUUUAACAGGGAAGUUUGCCAGUAUUUUCUUCAUAUUCAGUGUUGUUGGCUACUUGUUUUUUUCAGGUUUGUCUAUGAGUCUAAGUCUACGAUUCUCUGAAGCAAAUAUGCCGGUGAAGUUGCCUGAUAAAAAAGCAAACCUCCCAGAGUCUUCCAUUGGAGAAUUGUCACCUGCAAAGACCUCUGAGAGAAGAAACAACCGACCAACCAGCCAACCAACCAAACCCACUUCUGGAGCACCUCCUGGGAUGGAGGAGAUCUACCUGGGUUGAGCAGGCAGAGCUCCCCUCCUGGUCCCAUCCAAGACCUCAGGAUCUUCUUCAAGAAGAGCUAUUACCAUGGGCUAAGAAGGCCAGUGGACAUGAGUUUUAGAUCCAUUAUCUGCCGUCUUCACAGGAACCCUGCAAGGUAGACAUGACUGUCUUCAUUCUACUGAUAGACAAGUUAAGGCUCAGUUCAAAGGAACUUUCCUGAGGUUGCAGUGCAGCAGGCCUAGGGUUGAGCCUCAGGGGGCCAGCCUUUCUGUGCGGUGGUCAAAAUGAUUUUGAAGCUAUACUUGAGGGGAGAGGGAGUCCUUGGACCUCUGCAGGUGCACUGAGCCUUGAGCAGAGCCUUCCAGACCACCUGAAAGAACUGGGGAGCACACAGUUGGCAUUAAAUAGCCUAGGCUCUGUAGGGUCUCCCUCAAUGACUGGCUCUUCUGGUGUCAUAUGUGUUAGGAAAUAUUCUUGCCAUGUUCUGGCCCAGCCUCCACAGUUCACAGACUUGGGACUUUCUUUGGCCCAGUAUCCAUUCACUAAGUGCCUUUUGGCUCUCUUGCAUAAGCCAGGGUAGAGAUGGAAGAACAGAUGUCCUUGGCUUAAGUCAUGCAGCAUGGGAGUACAGGGGUUUGACUGAGGGUCUCAAAGGUCUAGGUCACUCAAUAUGAUUCUGCAGAGAUGCCAGUAGCACUUGAACUUCCUCUGGACAUCUACCCAGACCAGGGUGCUCUUGACCCCAUGACACGGGCCAGUAGUUUAUGAAGCGUUAGCCACCCUUUUUACCUCUAGGAUUUUUCUUUUCACUUUUACCUCAUGCAGGCAACUAGGCCAGUGCCUACUUGUUUUGGGGGGAGGGAAGUGACAAUGAAAAAUGGGUCUUCACCUGGUCUGGUAGAUUCUUUAAGUUGGCAGCUUCACACCCCUCUUAACUGGUUAUUUCCUAUAACAGAGGCUAGACACCAGACAUUCAACUUCCUGCCGCCCUACAGAUUGGAAUGGGCAGAUGCCUCCAGUGAUGAGUGUGAAACACACAGGCCCCUUCCUUGCCGGCUGGCUUUGUCCCGCUUGUCUGGCGUGGGUUGCUCAGGGGACAGCUCUCAUUGUUAAACAGGGGCCUGGCUGGAGGCUAAGAAGAGCCUGCCUGCUUCCUUGACUGCGCCUUUGAGCACUAUGCCUGAUUUUUUGCUUGUGUCUCACAAUAAAUUUCUAUUUGGCCAAACCUCUGUUGUUGGGUUUCUGUGACAUCCUUCCAGAUAUGAGGCUUACCCACUAUACUGUUCUGU